GCCUAGUUAGCUUGGUUGGUAGCGCUUUGUAAGCGCUAGACCGCGGGUUCGAUUCCCGCCCGGGGCG
Molecule: transfer RNA, 67 nt
Filed under: Diaphorina citri (Asian citrus psyllid)
Lineage: Eukaryota; Metazoa; Arthropoda; Insecta; Hemiptera; Psyllidae
Rfam family: tRNA
About the family: Transfer RNA (tRNA) molecules are approximately 80 nucleotides in length. Their secondary structure includes four short double-helical elements and three loops (D, anti-codon, and T loops).
Source: Rfam by way of RNAcentral